UGGCUUAGUGGUUAAGAGCACUGGCUGCUCUACCAGAGGUCCUGAGUUCAAGUCUCAG
RNAcentral lists this transfer RNA (58 nucleotides) under Neotoma lepida (desert woodrat). Lineage: Eukaryota; Metazoa; Chordata; Mammalia; Rodentia; Cricetidae. The record is from Rfam by way of RNAcentral.